This 141-nucleotide small nuclear RNA is filed under the name Dufourea novaeangliae. RNAcentral describes it as "U4 spliceosomal RNA". It matches the Rfam family "U4 spliceosomal RNA". Rfam says of the family: U4 small nuclear RNA (U4 snRNA) is a component of the major U2-dependent spliceosome. The record is from Rfam by way of RNAcentral. RNAcentral also lists the same sequence under 1 other name. Lineage: Eukaryota; Metazoa; Arthropoda; Insecta; Hymenoptera; Halictidae.
AGCUUUGCGCAGUGGCGAUAUCGUAACCAAUGAGGUUCUACCGAGGUGCGAUUAUUGCUAGUUGAAAACUUUUACCAAUACCCCGCCAUGACGAUGUGAAAUACCAUCGGCUACGGCAAUUUUUGAAAGUUUCUACGGAAA